GUAACGGCGAGUGAAGCGGCAACAGCUCAAAUUUGAAAUCUGGCCCCAGGCCCGAGUUGUAAUUUGCAGAGGAUGCUUUUGGUGAGGUGCCUUCCGAGUUCCCUGGAACGGGACGCCAUAGAGGGUGAGAGCCCCGUCUGGUCGGACACCGAGCCUCUGUAAAGCUCCUUCGACGAGUCGAGUAGUUUGGGAAUGCUGCUCAAAAUGGGAGGUAUAUGUCUUCUAAAGCUAAAUACCGGCCAGAGACCGAUAGCGCACAAGUAGAGUGAUCGAAAGAUGAAAAGCACUUUGGAAAGAGAGUUAAAUAGCACGUGAAAUUGUUGAAAGGGAAGCGUUUAUGACCAGACUUGGGGCGGUAAAUCAUCCAGCGUUCUCGCUGGUGCACUUUCCCGUCCCAGGCCAGCAUCAGUUCGCCGCGGGGGAUAAAGGCGUCGGGAAUGUGGCUCCUCGGAGUGUUAUAGCCCGUCGUGUAAUGCCCUGUGGCGGACUGAGGUUCGCGCUCUGCAAGGAUGCUGGCGUAAUGGUCAUCAACGACCCGUCUUGAAACACGGACCAAGGAGUCGUCUUCGUAUGCGAGUGUUCGGGUGUCAAACCCCUACGCGUAAUGAAAGUGAACGCAGGUGAGAGCUACGGCGCAUCAUCGACCGAUCCUGAUGUUCUCGGAUGGAUUUGAGUAAGAGCAUACGGGGCCGGACCCGAAAGAAGGUGAACUAUGCCUGUAUAGGGUGAAGCCAGAGGAAACUCUGGUGGAGGCUCGCAGCGGUUCUGACGUGCAAAUCGAUCGUCAAAUAUGGGCAUGGGGGGCGAAAGACUAAUCGAACCUUCUAGUAGCUGGUUUCCGCCGAAGUUUCCCUCAGGAUAGCAGUGUUGAACUCAGUUUUAUGAGGUAAAGCGAAUGAUUAGGGACCCGGGGGCGCUAUAUUGCCUUCAUCCAUUCUCAAACUUUAAAUAUGUAAGAAGCCCUUGUUACUUAAUUGAACGUGGGCAUUCGAAUGUAUCAACACUAGUGGGCCAUUUUUGGUAAGCAGAACUGGCGAUGCGGGAUGAACCGAACGCGAGGUUAAGGUGCCGGAGUAGACGCUCAUCAGACACCACAAAAGGUGUUAGUACAUCUUGACAGCAGGACGGUGGCCAUGGAAGUCGGAAUCCGCUAAGGACUGUGUAACAACUCACCUGCCGAAUGUACUAGCCCUGAAAAUGGAUGGCGCUCAAGCGUCUCACCCAUACCUCGCCCUCAGGGUAGAAACUAUGCCCUGAGGAGUAGGCGGACGUGGAGGUCGUGACG
RNAcentral lists this ribosomal RNA (1285 nucleotides) under Stachybotryaceae sp. SuSo-2019. RNAcentral's name for it is "Stachybotriaceae sp. SuSo-2019 partial large subunit ribosomal RNA". It matches the Rfam family "Eukaryotic large subunit ribosomal RNA", at positions 83 to 1405 of the family's 3401-position model. The record is from RNAcentral. Lineage: Eukaryota; Fungi; Ascomycota; Sordariomycetes; Hypocreales; Stachybotryaceae.